Molecule: small nuclear RNA, 146 nt
Organism: Meleagris gallopavo (turkey)
Lineage: Eukaryota; Metazoa; Chordata; Aves; Galliformes; Phasianidae
Gene: U1
Rfam family: U1 spliceosomal RNA
About the family: U1 is a small nuclear RNA (snRNA) component of the spliceosome (involved in pre-mRNA splicing). Its 5' end forms complementary base pairs with the 5' splice junction, thus defining the 5' donor site of an intron. There are significant differences in sequence and secondary structure between metazoan and yeast U1 snRNAs, the latter being much longer (568 nucleotides as compared to 164 nucleotides in human).
Source: Ensembl
GUACUUACCUGGCAGGGGAGACACCAUGAUCAGGAAGGUGGUUUCCCCUGCUCUCCAAGUGUGCUGUUCCCUGUAAUUUCCCCAAAUAUGGGAAACUCAGCUACAUAAUUUAUGAUAGUGGGGAACUGUGUUUGUGCUAAACUACU